UCUUAUCAAGAGUGGCGGAGGGACUGGCCCCAUGAAGCCCGGCAACCUAUCUUACGACAAGGUGCUAAUUCCCGAUAGAUGAGAUAC
RNAcentral lists this non-coding RNA (87 nucleotides) under bovine gut metagenome. RNAcentral's name for it is "SAM riboswitch (S box leader)". It matches the Rfam family "SAM riboswitch aptamer (S box leader)". Rfam says of the family: The SAM riboswitch is found upstream of a number of genes which code for proteins involved in methionine or cysteine biosynthesis in Gram-positive bacteria. The SAM riboswitch acts at the level of transcription termination control. The predicted structure consists of a complex stem-loop region followed by a single stem loop terminator region. The record is from RNAcentral.